This 300-nucleotide ribosomal RNA is filed under the name uncultured Aciditerrimonas sp. RNAcentral describes it as "bacterial SSU rRNA". It matches the Rfam family "Bacterial small subunit ribosomal RNA", at positions 496 to 795 of the family's 1533-position model. The record is from RNAcentral. Lineage: Bacteria; Bacillati; Actinomycetota; Acidimicrobiia; Acidimicrobiales; Acidimicrobiaceae.
GCUAACUACGUGCCAGCAGCCGCGGUAACACGUAGGGGGCAAGCGUUGUCCGGAUUUAUUGGGCGUAAAGAGCUCGUAGGUGGCUGAGUAAGUCGGAUGUCAAAUCCCCAGGCUCAACCUGGGAUCCCAUCCGAUACUGCUCUGGCUAGAGUCCGGUAGGGGAGCGUGGAAUUCCUGGUGUAGCGGUGAAAUGCGCAGAUAUCAGGAGGAACACCAGCGGCGAAGGCGGCGCUCUGGGCCGGUACUGACACUGAGGAGCGAAAGCGUGGGUAGCAAACAGGAUUAGAUACCCCUGUAGUC